UGACCUCCCGGGAAGUCCUCGUG
This 23-nucleotide small nuclear RNA is filed under the name Arabidopsis thaliana (thale cress). RNAcentral's name for it is "snRNA_11179". The record is from RNAcentral. Lineage: Eukaryota; Viridiplantae; Streptophyta; Magnoliopsida; Brassicales; Brassicaceae.